CACUCCUGCUCUUUUCUUUAUGCUGCCUGGCAGUAGCUGUCUAUAUGAAGAAUUUAUGCAAAGCAGUGCAACUGUUUUAGCCUGUGCUUUGAUGCUCAUCUGGGGUGAGAUAUGAAGAGUAGCAGUGGAGGAGUAUCUGUAAAGGUAGUUUAUGAGCAAUGCUGAUUACGGGGAGUGAGCAAGAACCUGAGGUCCCCAGUUACACUUAAAGAGCAACUCAGAGGACCUAUGUCAAGUGCAUGCACACGUACAUUGAAGAAUUAUCCCACUAAGGAAAUACCAACCAGACCUCAAGCAGACAGUCCAUCGGCCGUCAUCAGAGCUGGAAGACAGUUUUGGAGUAGGAUUAUUUCAGAAACCAUGCCUGGUCAGAGACAGAAGCUUACAAAAUUAGCCCUGUAAUUUCCUUUCAUGACAACUUUCAUAACCAUUUUAGCAUCUAUAAAGUAAAUGCUGACAACAAACUUAAGCUCAUUACAAAUGGCUAUAUUUAAUGGCCUGAUUAUAUGGACAUAUCUGACUCUUAGUAAUACCAUGAAAGAAAUGCAUUGUAGAUAUUGAUUGCUGGAGAAAUUAUGAGUCAUUUCCUCUGAUGGAGUGCUUGUGCCAAUGGAGGUUAGGAUGCCCAAGGGGCUGUUUUAGGUUAAAAAAUGGAAACAGAAAGGGAGGGUGCCUGUAGUGUGGCAAUGAUUUCCAUUCAGAAAACAUCUUCACAAGGUAUCUUGUCUUUGAAUAGAAAAGGAGUCACAUCCUUUUUACUGCAGAACUUGGAGGAUAAGAAAUCAAGGUUAAAAAUGUCUAAAGAGGGCAAGAUUCUACACAUCUGAAGGCUUCGUAAUAUUAUAUAUACUUGAAAGAACAAAUCCUGGAUUAGAUUUAACUGUUGCAAGAAGUAUGAUAUGUAAUAGCCUUUAAAUAUGGUUUGAUCUGGGACCACCAAAAUGAUGUGAAUGUUCUGUGCUGCUUUCGUCUCAAGAAGUGAUUUUCACAGGUAAAUAACACAUUUGGGACCUGCUUUCUUGUGUCAAUUAAAGCCGAACUUUUGAACUGGUGCAUGAGAAAAUAAAGCAGGGUGGAAAACUGCCCUGCAGAUGCUGUCAGAGAAAUCAGCUCAAUUCUGGGUCUUUCAAGGAUGCUGAAAACAAGUAGCGAAGCUUCAAGUGGUGAUCCAAUAAGCACUUGAGAACAAAGCAGCUCCUCGAUCCAGACCAGAGGACAGGGAUUUUGUUGUAAACCAAGCCCUGCUGCUGAAGUUGCAGGAUGAGCUCACAGCGCAAAGCCGUGCGGUGGGUAGCAGGAGGUCAGCGAUGCCACGUGCCCGCAGGAGAAGGCUAAGCUGCACGAGCCCCCAGUUGUACUGCUGUCAGCCUCUUAAUUACCAACAUUAUGGCAACAGGGCUUUCUGCAGAGUGGGCAAGGGGGAGGGGAAGUCAUCUUUUGUUGUUCCUGAAAGCAGGAGGAUGGAAUUAAAUGCAAGGCUGGCCUUUUGGUUAACGGUUUCAACUGAGGCCCAGGAGAUCGGUUUUCAUUUCCUAUUGGCCACGGAUCUCCUAGGUGGAAGCACAAGGCACAUCCUAAAGCUGAUUUCUGAAUGUGUUUGGCCAACUUGCCUGUCUUUGCCUCACCUGUUUAGGCAGGAUGCUGCCCUGAGCAGGGGCUGCCUUUCACUGUGCUUUUAUCAAGCACUCAGUUUGGUUCUCCUGAGUGCUUCACUAAAACAACAACUUUAGAAAACACAAAUUUUAUAUUGGUAAUCCUCAGCAAGAGUAAGAAUAGACAGAAAUACGUAGUAAUAGAAAGGAAGAUGCUGAAUCACACCGUUUGGCCAAUACUGCUAAUGGACUGCAGUGACAUCCCCACAAAGUAACUUGCAUUUAGGUGUUAGGGGAUGUUUAUCCUCUUCGUGAGAGUUAACAAAAUAUCUUAUCCCCAAGGGACAAACUGACUGCUAAAAAAUAUUAUAUGCAAAAUCAAUUUCCAUUCUGGGUAGAAACAUGUUCUUUUUGUCUUUAAGCACAUGCAAAGCUUUGGCACUCUGGAUUGUGCCACUUGCUUUCUCUAAGUUAUCAAGAAGGUAAAUCAUCCCAGUUGCAAGGAAGUAACCUUUUCUGUUUGGCUUUUUAUUUUUUAAUGAAGUUGGUGAGGACACGUUCAAAGCUCUAAAUAGAAGCUCUCGGAUAUUUGUCAGGAUUUUUGAGGGCAACACAUGACUAGAGAGGUACCAGGUCUCUCUCAGGUCAUGUAAUAUGCUGAGAUGGCUUGCAUGCAUCUUAUAACCUCUGGCCUCAAUUGUCUUAUGCUUUUCUAUUUAGAAAUCCGUUUAUAUAGGGGGAAAAAGAAGCCACCCCUGCAGAGGCUAGCAUAACUCUGCUAAAUGCAGGCUCUUUCUCCAUUUAUCCCACCUGACUAGGAUCUCCAAGUCAUCGGAGAGGAUUCUGACUGCUAGGAAGUAUUCCUUUCUUUCCCCUCUGAUAAUAAGCACGGCCCUUCUCCAAGAAGAGCCAGCGCCGCUGUGCAGGUGGUAGACAUCUGCAGAAGAAAUGCAUCAUCCUCCAUCAUCUGCUAUUACUCAUGUUACUACUAUCGGCACAGAGCCAUUUAUGUGUUACCUAACAACCACCUCAUUAGGGAUGAAACUUCCUUCUGCGAAAAGAACUAGCACCGCACAUCCAAGACAUGGCUCUAAUCCUAUUUUGGGGCCUUGAUUAGCAUUUAUGCUAGCCUAAGCCCUUUCACUUCGAGGUAUAGAGAUAUCAGCUGCCGCAGCUAUUAAUGUGAAAUGCUUCAUAAAACAGACAAUGCCCUCCAAAGGAAUGAAGUGCCUGUCGACAUCCUUCCAACCAGGUGAUUAUUUAAUAUUAUGUUAACUUGGAUCCAAGAUUUACAUUACAAGAAGAGCGGUGAUAAAAACUGGCUUUGAAAAGCAAGUGAAGAUUCAUCAGACCAACCUUUGGAAGUCAUAAUCUGGGUUGAAUAUGCAACAGCUGCAGUGGCAUCACUGGUGAUUCUCUAAGUGGUUUUGGCCCCUGCACAUCCCACCAGGCUGAUUAUAGCAAGGACUGCAAUACUAAUGGGGUACUGAAGGGUUUCAUUGUUGGACUUCGUCAUUCUGCAUGGGCAAUUACCUAAAUGUGCCUAUCAAAAACAGUCAGAUGUGAAUCCAGGAUGUCUUGAUCCUGUCUUUAUUACUGACGAGGAGUAUAAAUUCAGUUCAAGAACAAUGAUCCUGCCUUGCCAGCAAGGGUUUCUCAGGAUGUUUUCUUUCUCACUGCAUUUCAGCA
This is a long non-coding RNA of Anas platyrhynchos (mallard), 3281 nucleotides long. RefSeq lists it as uncharacterized. Lineage: Eukaryota; Metazoa; Chordata; Aves; Anseriformes; Anatidae. The record is from RefSeq and is a predicted model, not a curated record.